RNAcentral lists this transfer RNA (65 nucleotides) under Deronectes parvicollis. RNAcentral's name for it is "tRNA-Asp". Lineage: Eukaryota; Metazoa; Arthropoda; Insecta; Coleoptera; Dytiscidae. The record is from RNAcentral.
AAGAAAUUAGUUAAAUUAUAACAUUAGAAUGUCAAACUAAAAUUAUUAAAAAUUAAUAUUUCUUA